Long non-coding RNA from Carassius auratus (goldfish), 1126 nucleotides. RefSeq lists it as uncharacterized. NCBI's taxonomy places the organism in Eukaryota, Metazoa, Chordata, Actinopteri, Cypriniformes, Cyprinidae. The record is from RefSeq and is a predicted model, not a curated record. The transcript has 3 exons.
UAAAAGUUUUGUUCAAACACGCCCCGCGAUCAUGUGCCUUUCGAGGAAGAGUGUGUGGAUUUUACAGUGAAAGAGGGCUCUGUUCACCUCUGGACUGAACACACUGUUUGAUUGAGGUCAUGUUUUGUGUUCACUUCUAAGGUAAGGAGCUGGUUUGCAGUCGAACGCCAGUGAAUCGAACGGCUUCUUUAAAUAGUCUCAGAACACUGGAAACCGCAGCGUUCUGUUUGUUUUGAUUUGAUUGUUUCCGUUCCUUUUCUUUUUCUUUUGGAAGAGGAUUUAAAGAAAAGACAUUCACGAUCAGGGCAUUGUAAAGCCAAACGAGUGAACAUCCAGCUGCUGAGACUGGCACUGAGAUCAGCUGGACGUCUGGAUGAAUCUGCAGUGAAGCAGGCCAUCAAGGAGAAGACAGCAAAACUGCCAUGUCACGUCACCCACCCAUGUACAGUAUCUGACCGACGACAGAUGGAUCACAGAUGAAUUCUGCUCUCCAGAUGGACCAGAUCCUCUCAGAUCAGCAGACCAGCGAGACACGGAGAGUCCAGAUCUUCAUGCAGCGGCGGGAACACAACGCACCAAACACAACCUCAUGUGGACACUGAUGACCUGCGGCGCUUUCACACGUUCUGAUGCUUUUAUUAGCCUAGAGAGACUUUAUAAGAAUGAGCAUUUCUAGUCAUGCCAUACUAUAAAUAAAAAAAUUAUAUAAAUGGUAAGUCAUUUUAAAUUUAAGAUCUAAUUUAAAAAUACAAGAAUGAAAAAUAUGUGAAAUAUACUCGUCUCAAAUGUUUUAAUUGUAGCAAUUUGCUUUAGCAUUGCAUUCCUCAUUAGUUUACUGCUCAUCUUACGAAUAAUGCAUAUUUUUAUCACUUCACUUUCCUGAUUCUGAAAGUAGUUGAGUAAUUAAUUACUGCUUGGCUAGAAAGACACUGUUCAAGUACAGUAAUACUGCUGGAACCGCAUGUGAUUAUAUUAUGGGAUUACUUAUUAUUUCACAUUUAUUUUAUUCUGUUGUCAUAAUGAUAAUAUGCAUUUCUCAUGCAUGCAUUUCAAAGACCUCUUCACACUAUAUUAGACAGAGUUAUUUCAUGCUUUUCUUCCUCUUUCAUGGGAAACUUAUGAAUCA